This 497-nucleotide ribosomal RNA is filed under the name Staphylococcus warneri. RNAcentral's name for it is "bacterial SSU rRNA". It matches the Rfam family "Bacterial small subunit ribosomal RNA", at positions 64 to 543 of the family's 1533-position model. The record is from RNAcentral. Lineage: Bacteria; Bacillati; Bacillota; Bacilli; Caryophanales; Staphylococcaceae.
GAGCGAACAGAUAAGGAGCUUGCUCCUUUGACGUUAGCGGCGGACGGGUGAGUAACACGUGGAUAACCUACCUAUAAGACUGGGAUAACUUCGGGAAACCGGAGCUAAUACCGGAUAACAUAUUGAACCGCAUGGUUCAAUAGUGAAAGGCGGCUUUGCUGUCACUUAUAGAUGGAUCCGCGCCGUAUUAGCUAGUUGGUAAGGUAACGGCUUACCAAGGCAACGAUACGUAGCCGACCUGAGAGGGUGAUCGGCCACACUGGAACUGAGACACGGUCCAGACUCCUACGGGAGGCAGCAGUAGGGAAUCUUCCGCAAUGGGCGAAAGCCUGACGGAGCAACGCCGCGUGAGUGAUGAAGGUCUUCGGAUCGUAAAACUCUGUUAUCAGGGAAGAACAAAUGUGUAAGUAACUGUGCACAUCUUGACGGUACCUGAUCAGAAAGCCACGGCUAACUACGUGCCAGCAGCCGCGGUAAUACGUAGGUGGCAAGCGUUA